RNAcentral lists this long non-coding RNA (347 nucleotides) under Elaeis guineensis (African oil palm). RNAcentral's name for it is "long non-coding RNA (EGUI_LNC001965)". The record is from RNAcentral. Lineage: Eukaryota; Viridiplantae; Streptophyta; Magnoliopsida; Arecales; Arecaceae.
UUUGGAUAUGUUGAUGGGACGUUAUUUUAUCCAUCACCAACUAUUAAUUACUCAGAAUAAUGUUUCCUACUCAAUGCCAUCUUUGUAUCUGUUUCAGUAUGCUCUUCCUUUUGCUUCAACUUCUUUCUUCUAAUACACACAAGCUUAAAUAAUAUAAAACUUUUCCGAUCUUAAAUUUUGAGAAAAUCAUAAAUUUUUACUAUCUUGCAAGCUAGGAAUACUACCGUGUAGUGAAGUUUACGCAUCACAACACCACAUGCACGUUCCCGCUUCUCAUGCAUUAUUAGUAUUAUUACAUGCUUUAUAGUAAUCAUAGGUGCCAUUUUUGCAGGUUUGACGUGCAAGCU